This 466-nucleotide ribosomal RNA is filed under the name uncultured bacterium. Its description in RNAcentral is "partial 16S ribosomal RNA". It matches the Rfam family "Bacterial small subunit ribosomal RNA", at positions 29 to 506 of the family's 1533-position model. The record is from RNAcentral.
ACGAACGCUGGCGGCGUGCUUAACACAUGCAAGUCGAACGGAAAGGCCCUGCUUUUGUGGGGUGCUCGAGUGGCGAACGGGUGAGUAACACGUGAGUAACCUGCCCUUGACUUUGGGAUAACUUCAGGAAACUGGGGCUAAUACCGGAUAGGAGCUCCUGCUGCAUGGUGGGGGUUGGAAAGUUUCGGCGGUUGGGGAUGGACUCGCGGCUUAUCAGCUUGUUGGUGGGGUAGUGGCUUACCAAGGCUUUGACGGGUAGCCGGCCUGAGAGGGUGACCGGCCACAUUGGGACUGAGAUACGGCCCAGACUCCUACGGGAGGCAGCUGUGGGGAAUAUUGCACAAUGGGCGGAAGCCUGAUGCAGCAACGCCGCGUGCGGGAUGACGGCCUUCGGGUUGUAAACCGCUUUCGCCUGUGACGAAGCGUGAGUGACGGUAAUGGGUAAAGAAGCACCGGCUAACUACGU